GCGAAUUGCAGAAUUCAGUGAGUCAUCAAAAUUUUGAACGCAUAUUGCACUUCCGGGUUAGUCCUGGGAGUAUGUUUGUAUCAGUGUCCGUGAACACAACCUUGUUUCAUUCCUUGAUGGUUUGGAGCAGACUUUGAAGGUCUUGUACUUACAAGUCCUUUUAAACGAUGGUACCUAUGCGUCCUCGUGAGAUGUAUUAUUUAAAGGUAUGCCUGCGCUCCUUUCGAGAGUCUUGUGUGGCGGCACGCAGCAUUCAAAGAGAGAGCAAAUCGCGGUAGUUUUGCUUGUGCUUCGGUACGAGUGGACAUAUAUUGCUUUUUGUGAUUUCGGCGAGGCUGUUGUUUAAGCACAGGGCACGUAAGUGGAGUAGGUAUGCUGGUGCAUUUCUUGGCGCAUGGAGGCAAAUUGGGAAUUCAAUCCAAUUUGGACCUGAUAUCAAACAAGACUACCCGCUGAACUUAAGCAUAUCAUUAAGCGGAGGAAAAGAAACUAACAAGGAUUCCCCCAGUAACGGCGAGUGAAGCGGGAAGAGCUCAAGCUUAAAAUCUCCAUACUUGUAUGGCGAAUUGUAGUCUAUUGAGGCUGUUGUCAGCAUCGCGAUUGGGGACAAGUCCCUUGGAAAAGGGCAGCAUAGAGGGUGAUACUCCCGUCUCUGCUCCAAUCUGCGGUGUGUACGAUACGCUUUCUUUGAGUCGAGUUGUUUGGGAAUACAGCUCAAAGUAGGUGGUAAAUUCCAUCUAAAGCUAAAUAUUGGUGCGAGACCGAUAGCGAACAAGU
This 777-nucleotide unclassified non-coding RNA is filed under the name uncultured Saprolegnia. RNAcentral describes it as "partial contains 5.8S rRNA, ITS2, and 28S rRNA". The stretch from base 426 to 777 matches the Rfam family "Eukaryotic large subunit ribosomal RNA", at positions 1 to 349 of the family's 3401-position model. The record is from RNAcentral. Lineage: Eukaryota; Oomycota; Saprolegniomycetes; Saprolegniales.